RNAcentral lists this ribosomal RNA (2022 nucleotides) under Triticum aestivum (bread wheat). RNAcentral's name for it is "partial small subunit ribosomal RNA". The record is from RNAcentral. Lineage: Eukaryota; Viridiplantae; Streptophyta; Magnoliopsida; Poales; Poaceae.
AUGGCGACGGGCGAGGAGGCGAGGGAGCGCGGCGCGGAGUCGGCGGAGAUGGUGCCGUCGUGGCGCGAGCAGCUGACGGUCCGGGCCUUCGUGGUGAGCGCGCUCCUGGCCGUGCUCUUCAGCGUCAUCGUCAUGAAGCUGAGCCUCACGGCGGGGAUCAUCCCCUCGCUCAACAUCUCCGCGGGGCUGCUUGGCUUCUUCUUCGCCCGUCUCUGGGCGGCCGCCGAGGCCAGGCUGGGCCUGCCCCGCCGCCCCUUCACGCGGCAGGAGAACACCGUCAUCCAGACCUGCGUCGUCGCCGCCUACGGCAUCGCCUUCAGCGGUGGAUUCGGCUCCUACAUGUUUGCCAUGAGCAGCAGGAUCGCCGGCCAGGCGACGGAGGCGAAUGACGCCAUGAACGUCAAGGACCCCAGCUUGGGGUGGAUGAUCGGGUUCCUCUUCCUCGUUUGCUUCGUCGGCCUCUUCGCUCUGGUGCCCCUGAGAAAGGUCAUGAUCAUCGACUACGGGCUGAGCUAUCCGAGCGGCACCGCGACGGCGACCCUCAUCAACGGAUUCCACACUCCUCAGGGCGCCAAGGACGCAAAGGAGCAGGUGAAGACUCUUGGCAGGUACUCCCUCUUCAGCUUCCUCUGGGGCUUCUUCAAGUGGUUCUACACCGCCGGCGACGACUGCGGCUUCGAGAGCUUCCCCUCGCUGGGCCUCGAGGCGUACGAGAGGAAGUUCUACUUCAGCUUCUCUCCGAUCUACGUCGGGGUCGGGAUGAUCUGCCCCUACAUCAUAAACGUCUCCAUUCUCCUCGGCGGCAUCCUUUCGUGGGGACUGAUGUGGCCCCUGAUAGAGAAGAAGAAGGGGAGCUGGUACCCGGCCACCGCCAAGCGCUCCGACCUCCAUGGGCUGCAAGGCUACAAGGUCUUCAUAUCCAUCGCCAUGAUUCUUGGUGACGGCUUCUACAACUUCGUCAAAGUCAGCCUGAGGAUGUCCACGGCAUUCAUGGCAGCAGCCAGGAGGAAGAGCACACUCCCGGUGUCCGGUUCCGGUGAUGGCCCGGCGAGGUCCCUGGACGACGAUGACUUGCGUCGCACCGAGUACUUCCUCAGGGACCAGAUCCCGAUGGGCGUGGCGCUGGCUGGGUACGUCGCCGUGGCAGCCGUCUCCGUCGGCGUCGUCCCCAAGAUAUUCCCGCAGCUGAAAUGGUACUACAUCCUGGCCGUCUACGGCAUGGCGCCGGUGCUGGCCUUCUGCAACGCCUACGGGAUGGGCCUCACCGACUGGUCCCUCGCCACGACCUACGGGAAGCUCGGCAUCUUCGUCUUCGGCGCGUGGGCCGGCGCCUCGCACGGCGGCGUCAUCGCGGGGCUGGCCGCGUGCGGCGUCAUGAUGACCAUCGUCGCCACCGCCGCCGACCUCAUGCAGGACUUCAAGACCGGGUACAUGACCCUGGCGUCGCCGAGGUCCAUGUUCAUCAGCCAGGUCAUAGGCACGGCCAUGGGCUGCGUCAUCGGGCCCUGCGUCUUCUGGCUCUUCUACAGGGCGUUCGACAACGUCGGGCUGAGCGGCAGCGACUACCCGGCGCCCUACGCCGUCGUGUACCGCAACAUGGCCAUCUUCGGCGUCCAGGGCUUCUCCUCCCUGCCCAAGCACUGCCUCACCCUGUGCUGCGUGGUGUUCGCCGCGGCGGUCGUCAUCAACCUUGCGCGAGACCUGGCGCCAGAGAAGGUGUCGAGGUUCAUGCCCGUCCCCAUGGCCAUGGCGAUACCGUUCUACCUCGGGUCGUACUUCGCGAUCGACAUGUGCGUCGGCAGCGCGAUACUGUUCGUGUGGGAGAGGGUGGAUAAGGCCGGGGCGGACAUGUUCGCGCGCUCGGUUGCUUCGGGCUUGAUCUGUGGCGAGGGGAUCUGGAGCAUGCCGCAGUCGGUGCUGGCUCUGGCCAAGGUGCAGCCUCCGAUCUGCAUGAAGUUCCUGUCCAGAUCCACGAAUGCUAGAGUGGAUGCCUUCAUCCAAACCCUCUCGUCCAAGACAUAG